AUUGAACGCUGGCGGAAUGCUUUACACAUGCAAGUCGAACGGCAGCACGGACUUCGGUCUGGUGGCGAGUGGCGAACGGGUGAGUAACAUAUCGGAACGUAUCCAAUAAUGGGGGAUAACGAGUCGAAAGAUUCGCUAAUACCGCAUACGCCCUACGGGGGAAAGCUGGGGACCUUCGGGCCUGGCGUUAAUGGUGCGGCCGAUAUCUGAUUAGCUAGUUGGUGAGGUAAAGGCUCACCAAGGCGACGAUCAGGAGCUGGUCUGAGAGGACGACCAGCCACACUGGAACUGAGACACGGUCCAGACUCCUACGGGAGGCAGCAGUGGGGAAUUUUGGACAAUGGGCGCAAGCCUGAUCCAGCCAUUCCGCGUGAGUGAAGAAGGCCUUCGGGUUGUAAAGCCCUUUCGCAAGGGAAGAAAACUUAGCCACUAACAUUGGUUGAGGUUGACGGUACCUUGAUAAGAAGCACCGGCUAACUACGUGCCAGCAGCCGCAGUAA
RNAcentral lists this ribosomal RNA (500 nucleotides) under uncultured bacterium. RNAcentral's name for it is "partial 16S ribosomal RNA". It matches the Rfam family "Bacterial small subunit ribosomal RNA", at positions 30 to 523 of the family's 1533-position model. The record is from RNAcentral.